This 253-nucleotide ribosomal RNA is filed under the name uncultured bacterium. RNAcentral describes it as "partial 16S ribosomal RNA". It matches the Rfam family "Bacterial small subunit ribosomal RNA", at positions 524 to 776 of the family's 1533-position model. The record is from RNAcentral.
UACGUAGGGUGCAAGCGUUGUCCGGAAUUAUUGGGCGUAAAGAGCUCGUAGGCGGUCUGUCGCGUCGGCUGUGAAAACUCGGGGCUCAACCCCGAGCCUGCAGUCGAUACGGGCAGACUAGAGUGCUGUAGGGGAGACUGGAAUUCCUGGUGUAGCGGUGAAAUGCGCAGAUAUCAGGAGGAACACCGGUGGCGAAGGCGGGUCUCUGGACAGUUCCUGACGCUGAGGCACGAAGGCCAGGGGAGCAGACGGG